GACGAACGCUGGCGGCGUGCUUAACACAUGCCAGUCGAACGGAAAGGCCCUGCUUUUGUGGGGUGCUCGAGCGGCGAACGGGUGAGUAACACGUGAGUAACCUGCCCUUGACUUUGGGAUAACUUCAGGAAACUGGGGCUAAUACCGGAUAGGAGCUCCUGCUGCAUGGUGGGGGUUGGAAAGUUUCGGCGGUUGGGGAUGGACUCGCGGCUUAUCAGCUUGUUGGUGGGGUAGUGGCUUACCAAGGCUUUGACGGGUAGCCGGCCUGGGAGGGUGACCGGCCACAUUGGGACUGAGAUACGGCCCAGACUCCUACGGGAGGCAGCAGUGGGGAAUAUUGCACAAUGGGCGGAAGCCUGAUGCAGCAACGCCGCGUGCGGGAUGACGGCCUUCGGGUUGUAAACCGCUUUCGCCUGUGACGAAGCGUGAGUGACGGUAAUGGGUAAAGAAGCACCGGCUAACUACGUG
Molecule: ribosomal RNA, 468 nt
Filed under: uncultured bacterium
Lineage: Bacteria
Description: partial 16S ribosomal RNA
Rfam family: Bacterial small subunit ribosomal RNA
Source: RNAcentral